CGUGUAGGCGGCUUGUUAAGUUAAUUGUUAAAGACCUUGGCUCAACUGGGGAAAGGCAAUUAAAACUGGCGAGCUAGAGGGCAAGAGAGAGAAGUAGAAUUCUCGGAGUAGCGGUAAAAUGCGUAGAUCUCGAGAGGAAUACCGGUUGCGAAGGCAGCUUCUUGGCUUGUACCUGACGCUCAAGCGCGAAAGCGUGGGGAGCAAACA
Molecule: ribosomal RNA, 207 nt
Filed under: uncultured bacterium
Lineage: Bacteria
Description: partial 16S ribosomal RNA
Rfam family: Bacterial small subunit ribosomal RNA
Source: RNAcentral